AUUGCAAUUACUCCUAAUCCCUAUUAGGGAUUGAAAC
Desertifilum sp. is the source of this 37-nucleotide non-coding RNA. The record is from Rfam. Lineage: Bacteria; Bacillati; Cyanobacteriota; Cyanophyceae; Desertifilales; Desertifilaceae.